Long non-coding RNA from Macaca mulatta (Rhesus monkey), 1565 nucleotides. The record is from Ensembl. NCBI's taxonomy places the organism in Eukaryota, Metazoa, Chordata, Mammalia, Primates, Cercopithecidae.
CAAAAGUUUAAAUAGUUUCAUGUAAGGAAAAAAAGCUAGCUGGUUUUUUUUGGGGGGGGGUGGGGGGAAAAACCCACAAGCCUCAACAACAAUGAAUCACCUGCACUGUAUAAAUUCCUCUAUUUUUAACCACUGCUUUUGAUGUUUAAUAGUGACAACUUAGGUUUGGAGCCCAAAUUCAUGUUCAACUCAGCCAACAUUUACAAAUGGAUUUCUCAGGACCACAACAGCACUUUAGGCUGUUGUAGGACUUCGUUUCCUGCUUGUGGUAGAUUGCAGAUAGACCCAGUGCUUCACACCUCUCUGACUACACGCUUUACCAUGGUGUGCCCUCCUGAGUCACAAUAGCUUGGCUAUGGGACUUGCUUUGGCUCUUGGGAUGUUCAUGGAGCCAAGAGAGGCUUGCAAGGGGCCUGUGUGUUAAGCUUUCAUCUCUGGAGCCCCUUCUUCUGCCAUGAGAAGGACAUACCUGGCUGGCCUGCUGGAGGAAAAGAGACUUGGGGAGUAGAGGUGAGUAAUUCUCAUUGUCUCAAUCAAGGUCAACCCGGAUCCUCCAGCAGCUAUCCCCAGACAAAUUAUUGAGUCCAGCAGGGGGUCUAGGCAGUCCACGGAGCUGCCUAGCCACUGGAUGCUUUGCUGACCAUCAUUGUGGUUUGAGGAAUGCUUGUAAUGCACAUUAUGUGACAAUGGAUAACCUAUCCUCAAAGGACUUCCAAUCUGGUGAGAGACAAAAGUUUACACAUAACCAUAAUUACUACAACUACUACCACUGGUGGGUAACAUUUAUUCAAUGCUUAUUUAUUUUGCUCCAGGUCCUAUAUUCAAUGCUUCACUGUCAUUUAAUCUGUGCUACAAUGCUUAUCCUCAGUUCACAGAUGAGGAAACUGAGUCUCAAAGAGGUGCAGUGACUUGCCCGAGGUCACACAGCUAAGCAAGGGGGAAGUCGGUAUUUUGAUCCAGGUCUAUUUGACUUCAAAGCCCAUGAAUGAGGCCAUUAUGCUUUCCUGCAAGUCUAAACGUUUUAGCAGUUACAGGAGGAUCUCAACGUAUUAUUUUUUUAAACAGGCAAAUCAGGUUGCUAGAAGGGGCAGCAUUUGAUCUGGGACUUAAAGUGGCUUUGGUCAGGAUUCCACGCAAUGAGGUGGGAAUGAAGGAGUGCUUAUGUGAAUAUUUUUAUUCUGCAAACAGAUUAAGGUAUUUGGCAGCUGCUGGAAAGUUUUCCACAUCCAGUGAUUGGCUGCAUUUGGUGGACAAAGGAACUCAUCACUAUAUGAACUUUAAAGGGAUACAGCUUGUGAAAAAUUCCUCUGAUAAAAGUCAAGGCUACUUCAAGGGCUGGGUGCUGUUGAGAGAUGGAAUCUCUGUGCCCUUCCAUCAAGAAGUGGUCUGUCUAUGGAUGUGAGGCUCCAGGUUAGUGUUGCAUUGGAUGGUUAUAUAACGUGCUGCUUCGGGGUCCAAAUAGCCACUCUUCCUCUCUUCCCUGCAUAGUUUCUACUCCCACCAGAGAUGGUUUUGAACGAGCACUCAUGUCUUGCCUGCUAGAACUGUGGCAUUUUAGACUUUCU